This 347-nucleotide unclassified non-coding RNA is filed under the name soil metagenome. RNAcentral's name for it is "partial contains 5.8S ribosomal RNA, internal transcribed spacer 2, and large subunit ribosomal RNA". The stretch from base 1 to 120 matches the Rfam family "5.8S ribosomal RNA", at positions 35 to 154 of the family's 154-position model. The record is from RNAcentral.
GAUGAAGAACGUAGCGAAAUGCGAUAAGUAAUGUGAAUUGCAGAAUUCAGUGAAUCAUCGAGUCUUUGAACGCACAUUGCGCCCCCUGGUAUUCCGGGGGGCAUGCCUGUCCGAGCGUCAUUGCUGCCCUCAAGCACGGCUUGUGUGUUGGGCCGCCGUCCCCGGUUUCCCCCGGGGACGGGCCCGAAAGGCAGCGGCGGCACCGCGUCCGAUCCUCGAGCGUAUGGGGCUUUGUCACCCGCUCUGUAGGCCCGGCCGGCGCCAGCCGACACCCAACUUUAUUUCUAAGGUUGACCUCGGAUCAGGUAGGGAUACCCGCUGAACUUAAGCAUAUCAUAAGCGGAGGA